This 485-nucleotide ribosomal RNA is filed under the name uncultured bacterium. RNAcentral describes it as "partial 16S ribosomal RNA". It matches the Rfam family "Bacterial small subunit ribosomal RNA", at positions 29 to 523 of the family's 1533-position model. The record is from RNAcentral.
AGUGAACGCUGGCGGCGUGCUUAACACAUGCAAGUCGAACGAGAACGGGAUAUAGCUUGCUAUAUUUGUCAGCUAAGUGGCGCACGGGUGAGUAAUGUAUAGAUAACCUGCCCUCUAGAAAGGAAUAACAGUUGGAAACGACUGCUAAUGCCCUAUAUGCCUUUAAUACAUAAGUAUGCAAGGGAAACGCUUUAGUGCUAGAGGAUGGGUCUGUAUGGUAUCAGCUUGUUUGUGAGGUAAUGGCUCACCAAGGCUAUGACGCCUAACUGGUUUGAGAGGAUGAUCAGUCACACUGGAACUGAGUCACGGUCCAGACUCCUACGGGAGGCAGCAGUUGGGAAUAUUGCACAAUGGACGAAAGUCUGAUGCAGCAACGCCGCGUGGAGGAUGACACAUUUCGGUGCGUAAACUCCUUUUAUAUAGGAAGAUAAUGACGGUACUAUAUGAAUAAGCACCGGCUAACUCCGUGCCAGCAGCCGCGGUAA